RNAcentral lists this ribosomal RNA (450 nucleotides) under uncultured Comamonas sp. RNAcentral's name for it is "bacterial SSU rRNA". It matches the Rfam family "Bacterial small subunit ribosomal RNA", at positions 927 to 1382 of the family's 1533-position model. The record is from RNAcentral. Lineage: Bacteria; Pseudomonadati; Pseudomonadota; Betaproteobacteria; Burkholderiales; Comamonadaceae.
AAGCGGUGGAUGAUGUGGUUUAAUUCGAUGCAACGCGAAAACCUUACCCGCCUUUGACAUGUACGGAAUCCUUUAGAGAUAGAGGAGUGCUCGAAAGAGAGCCGUAACACAGGUGCUGCAUGGCUGUCGUCAGCUCGUGUCGUGAGAUGUUGGGUUAAGUCCCGCAACGAGCGCAACCCUUGUCAUUAGUUGCUACGAAAGGGCACUCUAAUGAGACUGCCGGUGACAAACCGGAGGAAGGUGGGGAUGACGUCAAGUCCUCAUGGCCCUUAUAGGUGGGGCUACACACGUCAUACAAUGGCUGGUACAAAGGGUUGCCAACCCGCGAGGGGGAGCCAAUCCCAUAAAGCCAGUCGUAGUCCGGAUCGCAGUCUGCAACUCGACUGCGUGAAGUCGGAAUCGCUAGUAAUCGUGGAUCAGCAUGUCACGGUGAAUACGUUCCCGGGUCUU